RNAcentral lists this ribosomal RNA (206 nucleotides) under uncultured Prevotella sp. Its description in RNAcentral is "partial 16S ribosomal RNA". It matches the Rfam family "Bacterial small subunit ribosomal RNA", at positions 150 to 356 of the family's 1533-position model. The record is from RNAcentral. Lineage: Bacteria; Pseudomonadati; Bacteroidota; Bacteroidia; Bacteroidales; Prevotellaceae.
GCCGAAAGGCAGACUAAUACCGCAUAGUCUUCGAUGACGGCAUCAGAUUUGAAGUAAAGAUUUAUCGGUAAUGGAUGGGGAUGCGUCUGAUUAGCUUGUUGGCGGGGUAACGGCCCACCAAGGCGACGAUCAGUAGGGGUUCUGAGAGGAAGGUCCCCCACAUUGGAACUGAGACACGGUCCAAACUCCUACGGGAGGCAGCAGCG